UCGCCAUGGAGACGCAGAAGCCACGGUUGGAGAAAAAGAUGUCAGAAAGAGAGCUAACUUAGCAGUUAGCUAGUUUAAAGUUUCUGUGUUAGAAAAACUCGGUGUUUUUUGUGUUUAUUAAGUGAACUGAGGCGUCGGGCAGUGUCUGUUUACCUAUUUAACUGGUUCUGAGCUGUAUUUGCCCUCUAACGUCGAGCUUUCUACUCUAAACUUGGACAUUUCCACUGGGCUAGCUGGCUAAGUUAGCUAGCUAACGCUAACUAGCGCUAACCAGCUUUAUGGAGCUGUAGGGAGUGUUAAAUGCCAUACAGAGGACAGUUGGAGCAAGAGCUGACAGAUUCAUUUCACUCCCAGCGGAAAUAACACAGCUGGACGGACGGAGAACUUGAACCUGCUGCUGUCAGCUGAGAGAGCUGCUGGUUAAGGUGGUGCGGAACUGAGAGAGCUGCUGGUUAAGGUGGUGCCGGACUGGGCGCUGCUGGUUAAGGUGGUGCGGAGCUGAGACAGGUGCUAGUUAAGGUCGUGCGGAGAUGGGCUGCUGCUGAGAGCUGAUUGUCUGAGCGCGCUGCACUGACUGAGGAUGCUGCGAGUGAUUAAAGCUACCAUCAGGCUCCCAAUAAAAGUGCAGGCCCUCAUGAUCAGCCACAGUGUUUAUUUUUAUCACUUCUUUCUUUUAAUGAUCUCCGCCCGGUUGCCUCUCUCGUCUCUUUUUUCACCCGAUCCUGAGCUCUUCUGCUCCCUCCUGUAACCCACAGUGUCCUCUAGAAAACAUUAGGAGACACUGGGCAGCACAAAGCUCCUGUAGGACAACAACACCCCGAGAAACAACAGAGACAAGCACAGGACUAAACAAGAGGAUGCGGGAUGAACAUGGAGAGAGUAUAAUCACUGCUGAUCUGUGUAUUUGUGUGUAAACGUGUGAGGGAGUGUGUGUGAGUGUUUGAGCGUGUGUGUGGGGGGGAAUGCCGGCAGGCUCCGAGGGAGACAGGAGGGAUCCUUAUCUGGCCCUGAGCAGACGAAUGCUGUUUUUCUUAAUUUAUUUCCACCAGAUGGGGAGAUCAAGAGUGGCAUUUCCAUCAAGAGUGUGUGUUUAUGUAUGUGUGUGAAUGAGUGUGUACUGGACAGUGUUCAACAAGAAUGUGUGUGUGUGAAGAGUAUGGUGAGAGAGCAUUAGACAGGGAGAGAGACUGGGAGGGGGGCCAGGGGUUGGGCAGUGUCCAGCAACAGGGUCAUGUGCCCACCCACUGGAAAUUCAAGGGGAAAUUGAUUGUGCUUUUUAUGGAUGAUUAGCCAUUUUACAUCACAGUGAACAAAGACUGAUAAGCACAAAUAUUAAAUGUGUUAAAUCAAGACUAAAGCAGUGGUUAGUUGACUAUUUUCU
RNAcentral lists this long non-coding RNA (1381 nucleotides) under Astyanax mexicanus (Mexican tetra). Its description in RNAcentral is "lncRNA (ENSAMXG00005008366.1)". The record is from RNAcentral. Lineage: Eukaryota; Metazoa; Chordata; Actinopteri; Characiformes; Acestrorhamphidae.